UGCAAAUGAUGUGAAGAGAAACUGAUUAUUCAGUGCUGACACUUUUCCCCCACCAAGAUCACUGAUGCA
Molecule: small nucleolar RNA, 69 nt
Organism: Ictalurus furcatus (blue catfish)
Lineage: Eukaryota; Metazoa; Chordata; Actinopteri; Siluriformes; Ictaluridae
Product: small nucleolar RNA SNORD24
Exons: 1
Source: RefSeq, a predicted model, not a curated record